RNAcentral lists this ribosomal RNA (450 nucleotides) under uncultured bacterium. RNAcentral describes it as "partial 16S ribosomal RNA". It matches the Rfam family "Bacterial small subunit ribosomal RNA", at positions 338 to 795 of the family's 1533-position model. The record is from RNAcentral.
CCUACGGGUGGCAGCAGUGGGGAAUAUUGGACAAUGGGCGCAAGCCUGAUCCAGCAAUGCCGCGUGUGUGAAGAAGGCCUGCGGGUUGUAAAGCACUUUCAGCAGGAAAGAAGGGGUGAAAGUUAAUACCUUUCAUCAUUGACGUUACCUGCAGAAUAAGCACCGGCUAACUCCGUGCCAGCAGCCGCGGUAAUACGGAGGGUGCUAGCGUUACGCGGAAUUACUGGAGGUAGUGUGCGCGUAGGCGCGUGAAAGCCCUGGGCUUAACCUGGGAACUGCGGUGGAUACUGGCGGGCUAGAGUGUGGUAGAGGGGAGUGGAAUUUCCGGUGUAGCAGUGAAAUGCGUAGAGAUCGGAAGGAACACCAGUGGCGAAGGCGGCUCCCUGGACUAACACUGACGCUGAGGUGCGAAAGCGUGGGGAGCAAACAGGAUUAGAUACCCCUGUAGUC